GAUGAACGCUAGCUACAGGCUUAACACAUGCAAGUCGAGGGGCAGCAUUUCAGUUUGCUUGCAAACUGGAGAUGGCGACCGGCGCACGGGUGAGUAACACGUAUCCAACCUGCCGAUAACUCGGGGAUAGCCUUUCGAAAGAAAGAUUAAUACCCGAUGGUAUAAUCAGACCGCAUGGUCUUGUUAUUAAAGAAUUUCGGUUAUCGAUGGGGAUGCGUUCCAUUAGGCAGUUGGUGAGGUAACGGCUCACCAAACCUUCGAUGGAUAGGGGUUCUGAGAGGAAGGUCCCCCACAUUGGAACUGAGACACGGUCCAAACUCCUACGGGAGGCAGCAGUGAGGAAUAUUGGUCAAUGGGCGCAGGCCUGAGCCAGCCAAGUAGCGUGAAGGAUGACUGCCCUAUGGGUUGUAAACUUCUUUUAUAUGGGAAUAAAGUUUUCCACGUGUGGAAUUUUGUAUGUACCAUAUGAAUAAGGAUCGGCUAACUCCGUGCCAGCAGCCGCGGUAAUACGGAGGAUCCGAGCGUUAUCCGGAUUUAUUGGGUUUAAAGGGAGCGUAGGUGGACAGUUAAGUCAGUUGUGAAAGUUUGCGGCUCAACCGUAAAAUUGCAGUUGAUACUGGCUGUCUUGAGUACAGUAGAGGUGGGCGGAAUUCGUGGUGUAGCGGUGAAAUGCUUAGAAAUCACGAAGAACUCCGAUUGCGAAGGCAGCUCACUGGACUGCAACUGACACUGAUGCUCGAAAGUGUGGGUAUCAAACAGGAUUAGAUACCCUGGUAGUCCACACAGUAAACGAUGAAUACUCGCUGUUUGCGAUAUACAGUAAGCGGCCAAGCGAAAGCAUUAAGUAUUCCACCUGGGGAGUACGCCGGCAACGGUGAAACUCAAAGGAAUUGACGGGGGCCCGCACAAGCGGAGGAACAUGUGGUUUAAUUCGAUGAUACGCGAGGAACCUUACCCGGGCUUAAAUUGCAUUUGAAUAUAUUGGAAACAGUAUAGCCGUAAGGCAAAUGUGAAGGUGCUGCAUGGUUGUCGUCAGCUCGUGCCGUGAGGUGUCGGCUUAAGUGCCAUAACGAGCGCAACCCUUAUCUUUAGUUACUAACAGGUCAUGCUGAGGACUCUAGAGAGACUGCCGUCGUAAGAUGUGAGGAAGGUGGGGAUGACGUCAAAUCAGCACGGCCCUUACGUCCGGGGCUACACACGUGUUACAAUGGGGGGUACAGAAGGCAGCUACCUGGUGACAGGAUGCUAAUCCCAAAAGCCUCUCUCAGUUCGGAUCGAAGUCUGCAACCCGACUUCGUGAAGCUGGAUUCGCUAGUAAUCGCGCAUCAGCCAUGGCGCGGUGAAUACGUUCCCGGGCCU
Molecule: ribosomal RNA, 1359 nt
Filed under: uncultured bacterium
Lineage: Bacteria
Description: bacterial SSU rRNA
Rfam family: Bacterial small subunit ribosomal RNA
Source: RNAcentral